RNAcentral lists this small RNA (17 nucleotides) under Arabidopsis thaliana (thale cress). RNAcentral describes it as "ATSL081270". The record is from RNAcentral. Lineage: Eukaryota; Viridiplantae; Streptophyta; Magnoliopsida; Brassicales; Brassicaceae.
GUUUUUUUUCCAUCUCU